RNAcentral lists this ribosomal RNA (805 nucleotides) under uncultured bacterium. Its description in RNAcentral is "bacterial SSU rRNA". It matches the Rfam family "Bacterial small subunit ribosomal RNA", at positions 8 to 812 of the family's 1533-position model. The record is from RNAcentral.
AGAGUUUCAUUCUGGCUCAGGAUGAACGCUGGCGGCGUGCUUAACACAUGCAAGUCGAACGAAGCACCUGAGAAUGAUUCUUCGGAUGAAGUCUCUUGUGACUGAGUGGCGGACGGGUGAGUAACGCGUGGGUAACCUGCCUCACACAGGGGGAUAACAGUUGGAAACGACCGCUAAUACCGCAUAACCCGCUGGUGCCGCAUGGCACUGACGGAAAAGAUUUUAUCGGUGUGAGAUGGACCCGCGUCUGAUUAGCCAGUUGGCAGGGUAACGGCCUACCAAAGCGACGAUCAGUAGCCGGCCUGAGAGGGUGAACGGCCACAUUGGGACUGAGACACGGCCCAGACUCCUGCGGGAGGCAGCAGUGGGGAAUAUUGCACAAUGGGGGAAACCCUGAUGCAGCGACGCCGCGUGAGUGAAGAAGUAUUUCGGUAUGUAAAGCUCUAUCAGCAGGGAAGAAAAUGACGGUACCUGAUUAAGAAGCCCCGGCUAACUACGUGCCAGCAGCCGCGGUAAUACGUAGGGGGCAAGCGUUAUCCGGAUUUACUGGGUGUAAAGGGAGCGUAGACGGUGAUGCAAGUCAGAAGUGAAAGCCCGGGGCUCAACUCCGGGACUGCUUUUGAAACUGUGUGACUGGAGUGCAGGAGAGGUAAGCGGAAUUCCUGGUGUAGCGGUGAAAUGCGUAGAUAUCAGGAGGAACACCAGUGGCGAAGGCGGCUUACUGGACUGUAACUGACGUUGAGGCUCGAAAGCGUGGGGAGCAAACAGGAUUAGAUACCCUGGUAGUCCACGCCGUAAACGAUGA